This is a long non-coding RNA of Carya illinoinensis, 3030 nucleotides long. RefSeq lists it as uncharacterized. The record is from RefSeq and is a predicted model, not a curated record. The transcript is spliced from 2 exons. Lineage: Eukaryota; Viridiplantae; Streptophyta; Magnoliopsida; Fagales; Juglandaceae.
UUUGUAUUUUAGAAACGAUAAAAAGAUAUGGCCAGCAAGAUCAUUGCCAUUAAAUUGAAAAUAAUGGGUCGGUAUUUAAAGAAUAUAUCCAGUAGAUUUUCAUAAAAUACUGAUAUGAAAAAAUUAUUACCAUUGGCAUUGAAUUUGAAAACCCUGGUUGGGAAAAGAAGUUCUACACCGAGUAGAUUUUCUGAGAGAAUCUGGAAUAUUAAACAAACAGAUCCAUUUUUCGUGUUCUUUCUUGUCGGUUGCCAAAGCGAAGAUGACCAGAGGAGAACUUUUGAGGCUCAUCAAAGGUUUGAUAAACGAAGAGAAUUUGACCAAAGGUCUGACCUUGGCCCUUGCUCCUUGGACCCUUGUAUGAGGGCAUCACUGCAAAACCACCCACAUAUGUAGUUUUAGGUCAUACCCAUCAUUUUGACGGUAAAGAUAUAGCAUGUGUUCAGUAUGGUGAGCUCCCAGAGACGAGCAUUUCAGAGUUGCGCCAUAAUUAGUAAACAAAUCGGUGUUCGAUCUAGUCAUUUUGUUGAACAUUAAUUUCUGAUUUGUUGUAUUGGCCGAAUCCGAUUGGUAACACGUAUGAAGCUCGUCUUAGGUGAUAAUUCUAGUGACCCUAGAGUUGUGGCUUGGAGCCUUGGAGAUCAUACUCUCUGAUCUAUCAGAGAAAAACCCUAAUUUCAUGAAUUCGACUUUGAUUCUUAUGAGGAAGAACCAGUUUGAAGAUAUGACUAACAGUUCGUCUUCCAAAAAGCACGGUCAAGAUCAGCCAGAGAUGAGUGGGCGCACACCCAAAUACCAGCGACAAUGAAAAGAGGGUAACAAUUCUUUGUUUGAUUCGAAUUUGGAAAAAUACCCAUGUUCAGAAUUACCAAUACAUCUUGUACCAGAAGCUCGGGAGCUAUCCUAAAACGGUUUUAAAUCUCAAUGCCGAAAACAUGUUUACGUUUUGCUUUACUUUAAUGCACUCUUGUUUUUCUAUUGCCUUUAUUCUUCAAGAGUUUAGUGUCAGAAUCAAAUUUGAAAGAUUAACUCUGGAAAAAAAAUUGAUAGAUUACCCAUUGCUUCAAUCUCCAUGCUAACGUUUCCCGCGAAUCAAAAAACAGUUUUUGAAUAUGGAUUUAUGACACUACGUCUUGAACUUGCAUUAUAUAUAUAUAUCCAUUCAGAAUUGUUGUUUGCACUAUUUUUAUUGAGUUUUCUUGUAGAUUUUGAUCAAGAAUCAAGAAUAAUGACAUAAGCGUUCCAAUUGAGCAUGGUAUGAUGCUAACGUCUUUUUUGGUAGCUUUGUGGCUUCUCGAAUAGCUUGUUUUCCCACAGACACAAAUGGAUGGCGUAUGUUCGUGGGAGGAGUGGUGAUAAAAGAUGCUUGUUUUCACAGUUUCAAAUUGUCAAUACCCCCGCAAGGGAUGUGGAGUCGCUGCCAUUUGAGAGUAAUCAGAAGCUGGAUGGGGUGAAUUUGAAAUGGCCUCUUCAUUUUCGCAGCAAUGUUUGUGAUGAGUCAUUGAUCUUGUAAGUUUUUUUAUGUGUUUCUUGUUUUAAUUUAUAUGGUCUUGGCCCAAACUGUAAUGGAGUAGUAAGCAGAUCUUUUAUUAUAAAGCAAAGAUACAUACGGUGAUCAGACUAGAAUAGUAAUAGCAAAUCAUACUCAGUUUUGAAACACUCGUACCUGGUUCUGAAUUUCACAAUAGGAUUAGGGUCAUCAACCUGCUUGAGCAACCACCACGGCCCUGUACCAACAAAUUCUGCUGCGUUACCAUUACUGCUCUAUUAGCAUCAAUAUAGGAUCAAGAAUAACCUUCCAAUGGCUUAGUUUGUUGGUCAGGUUUAACAAAAAUGAUUUCACACUACAUAUUGUACAAUCAUGUACAAAGAUUUUGAUUGGAACCAAAUGGCUGAAGAAGCCAAAGUAGUUGGGUUGAGUUUUACCCUGUAUCGUGUGCUAAAUGCGACCCAUCAAAUAUUUUUCAUGACCUUUUAUUUAUUUAGUUGAAAUAUACAAGAUACAGGAAAUAAUGAUGCAGGCAUAACUUGAUACUUCCAUCAAGUAAGAGCAUAUACCUCCUUGUGUGCUUGAAAGCAUGUAUGCUGUUAGUAAUGUAGCCAUUCUUGUUGUAGAUUAUAUCAUAAAUGUCUUUGUAGCUCUCUACAGAAUCUGAAUCUCCAUGCCUUGUAUUGCAUGUUUCAGUGCUCAUACCAUCCUUUCUGCAAUAUAUAUUUUUCUUUUCAGAUACUUCGUCUUGAAAUAACUCAUUCUUCUUUUUUCUUCAUUUAAAAAUAACCUUGAUUACAUAUUCAAAAGUACGUUGUUCUACAAUCUACAGUGGCUCUUCUUCUCCUAUUGCAUGAGUACGUGCAUGCCUUCUCUGCAGUUGUUCUUGUUUUCUAGUUGUAUGACUUUCUCGGUACCAGGAUGGAAUUAAGUCAAGUCUUCACUCCACCCACCCCACCUGCCAAAAAAUAAAAAAGAAAGAGACUCCACGAGAAGUAAAGAUUGUUUUUUGGCUCUUACAAAUUAGGCUAAUUUUCAGGAAUUUUGGCUUUUACAAAUGACCCUCUUCCAUAUGGUGUACCAAACUAACAUCCUUGACUUUGCUCUAUACCAGUAACUGUAGAAUCGGUGAAAAACACUGUGGCUUGUUUCUCCUUUCAAUUCAAUUCCUUUGAUGGCUACUCAUGCUGAGCUAUUGACCUAUCACAUUGGACAUCAUUAACUACGAUCCUCCAAAUUUGUUUCAAUUGACGUCCUGGUGUUCUGCAUCUCAAACAAGCUUUGACAAAGGUUUCAUAAAUCCAAUUGACUAAUUCAGGGGAUUGACAAGGAUCAGAGCUUUGGCUUAAUUUGUUUUUCAAUCUGAAGUUUCAGAGUUAACAGUGGGAUGGCUUUAAUGUUUGUAGAGAUGUGGAAGAAUUUGACCUUGUGUUUUCUUUUAGCUGGUAAGCGAAUUAUAUAGUUUCACUCAAGCUUCUUGUUCACAUAUCUUAAUUUGGAUAAACUCUUUAAAUUUUAUUCUGGAAGGUGUACCAGCCAAA